This 75-nucleotide transfer RNA is filed under the name Podarcis lilfordi (Lilford's wall lizard). Its description in RNAcentral is "tRNA.Lys". The stretch from base 7 to 70 matches the Rfam family "tRNA", at positions 5 to 66 of the family's 71-position model. From Rfam's summary of the family: Transfer RNA (tRNA) molecules are approximately 80 nucleotides in length. Their secondary structure includes four short double-helical elements and three loops (D, anti-codon, and T loops). The record is from RNAcentral. Lineage: Eukaryota; Metazoa; Chordata; Lepidosauria; Squamata; Lacertidae.
ACUACAAUUUAGCUCAGUUAGUAAAGCAUGAGACUCUUAAUCUCAGGGUUGUGGGUUUGAGCCCCACAUUGGGCA